CUACUCCAGAUCAGCUGAUAGUUCUACUCCAGAUCAGCUGAUAGUUCUGCUCCAGCUGACAAUUCUGCUCCAGCGAUUGUCUGCUGCAGCUGAUAGUUCUACUCCAAAUCAGCUGAUAGUUCUACUCCAAAUCAGCUGAUAGUUCUGCUCCAGAUCAGCUGAUAGUUCUGCUCCAGAUCAGCUGAUAGUUCUGCUCCAGAUCAGCUGAUAGUUCUGCUGCAGAUCAGCUUAUAGUUCUGCUCCAGAUAAGCUGAUAGUUCUACUCCAGCUGAUAGUUCUGCUCCAGAUCAGCUGAUAGUUCUACUCCAGAUCAGUUGAUAGUUCUACUCCAGAUCAGUUGAUAGUUUUACUCCAGAUCAGCUGAUAGUUCUGCUCCAGCUGACAAUCCUGCUCCAGCUGAUAGUCUGCUGCAGCUGAUAGUUCUACUCCAAAUCAGCUGAUAGUUCUACUCCAAAUCAGCUGAUAGUUCUGCUCCAGAUCAGCUGAUAGUUCUGCUCCAGAUCAGCUGAUAGUUCUGCUCCAGAUCAGCUGAUAGUUCUUCUCCAGAUCAGCUGAUAGUUCUGCUCCGGAUCAGUUGAUAGUUCUGCUCUGGAUCAGCUGAUAGUUCUGCUCCGGAUCAGCUGAUAGUUCUGCUCCGGAUCAGCUGAUAGUUCUGCUCCGGAUCAGCUGAUAGUUCUGCUCCGGAUCAGCUGAUUGUUCUGCUCCGGAUCAGCUGAUAGUUCUACUCCGGAUCAGCUGAUAGUUCUACUCCGGAUCAGUUGAUAGUUCUACUCCGGAUCAGUUGAUAGUUUUGCUCCAGCUGAGUUGAUAGUUCUGCUCCAGAUCAGUUGAUAGUUCUGCUCCAGAUCAGUUGAUAGUUCUGCUCCAGAUCAGUUGAUAGUUCUGCUCCAGAUCAGCUGAUAGUUCUACUCCAGAUCAGCUGAUAGUUCUACUCCAGAUCAGCUGAUAGUUCUGCUCCAGCUGAUAGUUCUACUCCAGAUCAGCUGAUAGUUCUACUCCAGAUCAGCUGAUAGUUCUGCUCAAGAUCAGCUGAUAUAUCUGCUCCAGAUCAGCUGAUAGUUCUACUCCGGAUCAGCUGAUAGUUCUACUCCAGAUCAGCUGAUAGUUCUGCUCCAGAUCAGCUGAUAGUUCUACUCCGGAUCAGCUGAUAGUUCUGCUCCAGCUGAUAGUCUGCUCCAGCUGAUAGUCUGCUGCAGCUGAUAGUCUGCUGCAGCUGAUAGUCUGCUGCAGCUGAUAGUUCUACUCCAGAUCAGCUGAUAGUUCUACUCCAGAUCAGCUGAUAGUUCUGCUCCAGAUCAGUUGAUAGUUCUGCUCCAGAUCAGUUGAUAGUUCUACUCCAGAUCAGCUGAUAGUUCUACUCCAGAUCAGCUGAUAGUUCUGCUCCAGCUGAUAGUUCUACUCCAGAUCAGCUGAUAGUUCUACUCCAGAUCAGCUGAUAGUUCUGCUCCAGAUCAGCUGAUAGUUCUGCUCAAGAUCAGCUGAUAGUUCUACUCCGGAUCAGCUGAUAGUUCUACUCCAGAUCAGCUGAUAGUUCUGCUCCAGAUCAGCUGAUAGUUCUACUCAAGAUCAGCUGAUAGUUCUGCUCCAGCUGAUAGUCUGCUCCAGCUGAUAGUCUGCUGCAGCUGAUAGUUCUACUCCAGAUCAGCUGAUAGUUCUGC
Molecule: long non-coding RNA, 1658 nt
Filed under: Salmo salar (Atlantic salmon)
Lineage: Eukaryota; Metazoa; Chordata; Actinopteri; Salmoniformes; Salmonidae
Description: lncRNA (ENSSSAG00000083727.1)
Source: RNAcentral